AGUGAACGCUGGCGGUAGGCCUAACACAUGCAAGUCGAACGGCAGCACAGUAAGAGCUUGCUCUUACGGGUGGCGAGUGGCGGACGGGUGAGGAAUACAUCGGAAUCUACUUUUUCGUGGGGGAUAACGUAGGGAAACUUACGCUAAUACCGCAUACGACCUACGGGUGAAAGCAGGGGAUCUUCGGACCUUGCGCGAUUGAAUGCGCCGAUGUCGGAUUAGCUAGUUGGCGGGGUAAAGGCCCACCAAGGCGACGAUCCGUAGCUGGUCUGAGAGGAUGAUCAGCCACACUGGAACUGAGACACGGUCCAGACUCCUACGGGAGGCAGCAGUGGGGAAUAUUGGACAAUGGGCGCAAGCCUGAUCCAGCCAUACCGCGUGGGUGAAGAAGGCCUUCGGGUUGUAAAGCCCUUUUGUUGGGAAAGAAAAGCAGCAGGUUAAUACCCCGCUAUUCUGACGGUACCCAAAGAAUAAGCACCGGCUAACUUCGUG
This 492-nucleotide ribosomal RNA is filed under the name uncultured bacterium. Its description in RNAcentral is "partial 16S ribosomal RNA". It matches the Rfam family "Bacterial small subunit ribosomal RNA", at positions 29 to 507 of the family's 1533-position model. The record is from RNAcentral.